Long non-coding RNA from Tarenaya hassleriana, 1524 nucleotides. RefSeq lists it as uncharacterized. Lineage: Eukaryota; Viridiplantae; Streptophyta; Magnoliopsida; Brassicales; Cleomaceae. The record is from RefSeq and is a predicted model, not a curated record. The transcript has 2 exons.
AGCGGUUCAAGAGGUUAUUCAGCAGUAUGAGACACUCGGGCCUUCGAGUGAACUACGACAAAUCUGAUUUCUUUACUGGGGGAGUUACCGAGCAAACGGCAGACCAACUGGCAGGAAUAUUGGGCAUCCGACGAGGAACAUUACCAAUUCGCUACCUUGGCAUUCCGCUAAGUCCAUGGAAAUUAUCUAAGCACGACUACCAACCGUUGUUGGACAGAAUCAACGCCAAAAUAAAUUCAUGGACAUCAAAAUUUCUGUCAUAUGCUGGCAAGGUACAAUUGAUUUCCUCUGUGAUUUAUGGUUUAGUUAACUCAUGGUGUUCGUUGUUUCUGCUGCCCAAAUACUUGCUUAAGCAGAUAAACAACAUAUGUGCAAAUUUCUUGUGGAAAUCCACCUCGACGAGUGGAGGGGCACACCGAGUUGCCUGGCCAAUUAUUUGUCUCCCGAAGAAGGAAGGCGGAUUGGGACUGGUAAACUGGUAGACGUUAAUCUGGUGGCAAGGAUGAAAUUGGUGUGACUACUAUUCUCCAAGGCUGGCUCUUUAUGGGUAGCAUGGCUCAAAGCCAACAUUUUCAAGCGGCUGUCUUACUGGUCAAUCAACCCCUCGCCACGACAUACUUGGAACCUACGGAAGCUAAUUGGACUACGGGGAACUUGGACCGAGAGAACUGCGAAUCCCUCUCCACGCGAUGGUCAAGGAAGCAACGAACGGGGAAGGCUGGAAGCUACCACCGGCACGAUCAAAGCGGCACAAAGAAUCCACGAAAUCUUAACCACGAAACCUAUUCCAACACCAGAUAAUGGGCCUGAUAAAAUGCAAUGGAAGCAGGGACAAGAUCUAUUCGCUGAAAAAUUCAUCUCCUCAGCAACCUGGAGGCUCUUACGUUCACCAUCAGUUGAAGUUCCUUGGGCGAGCGCAGUUUGGUUCAAGCAAACAACGCCGAGACAUGCUGUUAUCCAGUGGCAAGCAUUCUUGGGAAGAUUACCAACACGAGACCGGCUACAUCGUUGGGGACUUCAGCAAGAGACUAUCUGCUCGAUGUGUUAUUCGGAUGACGAGACGCACAACCAUCUAUUCCUUCAAUGCCAAUUUAGCUCCAGUAUAUGGCGCCACUUUGCAGAGAAGAUUUGGUGCAACCCCCCACUCUUACUACAUCAGAUUCCUCAUUGGAUUGAGGAGGCGACGAUUGAUCGAACACGACAGCGAGCUGCACUAGGGAGAAUAACACUACAAGCAUUGGUUUAUCUUGUUUGGCAGGAGAGAAAUAGCAGGAUUUUCCGCGCACAGAGCACUCAACUGCCAGAUUUCAUUCAUAAGCUGGACCGGCUAGUUCGGAACAUUAUCUUAUCUUGCCAAACGAGCAUGCAACCUCGUGAAAAUUUGUUACUACAGGAUUGGUACUAUAUCACAAGGCCUCCCUGAUAUGUCUUUUGCUAGGAAAACAAUAGGCAUGGAAGUUUUAUUUUGUUAACCGAUUUCAAAACGGUUCUGUAAACUACAAACAAUAAUUUUUUUGGUUAAUA